This 278-nucleotide ribosomal RNA is filed under the name uncultured prokaryote. RNAcentral describes it as "partial 16S ribosomal RNA". It matches the Rfam family "Bacterial small subunit ribosomal RNA", at positions 524 to 801 of the family's 1533-position model. The record is from RNAcentral.
CACGGGGGUUGCGAGCGUUGUCCGGAAUUACUAGGCGUAAAGGGCAGGCAGGCGGAUCCAUAAGUUUAUCGUUUAAGGCGUCGGCUUAACCGGCGUAGGGCGGUAGAUACUGUGGAUCUGGAAUGCGGUUGGGGAAGACAGAAUUCCUGGUGUAGCGGUGGAAUGCGCAGAGAUCAGGAGGAAUACCGAAGGCGAAGGCAGUCUUCCAAGCCGUUAUUGACGGUCAACUGCGAAGGUGUGGGUAUCAAACAGGAUUAGAUACCCUGGUAGUCCCUGAG